CGCGGACCGUACCGCAAACCGACACUGGUGGGCGAGCUGAAUAUGCUCAGGCGCUUGAGAGAACUCGGGAGAAGGAACUCGGCAAAUUGACACCGUAACUUCGGAAGAAGGUGUGCCGUAGUACCGUGAGAGGAGAGACACCUUGAGCGGGAAUCGGUCUCAGAGAAUAGGUGGCUGCGACUGUUUAUUAAAAACACAGCACUCUGCAAAGUCGAAAGACGACGUAUAGGGUGUGAUGCCUGCCCGGUGCUGGAAGAUUAAUUGAUGGGGUGAGAGCCCUUGAUCGAAGUCCCAGUAAACGGCGGCCGUAACUAUAACGGUCCUAAGGUAGCGAAAUUCCUUGUCGGGUAAGUUCCGACCUGCACGAAUGGCAUAACGAUGGCCACACUGUCUCCUCCCGAGACUCAGUGAAGUUGAAAUGUUUGUGAUGAUGCAAUCUACCCGCGGCUAGACGGAAAGACCCCAUGAACCUUUACUGCAGCUUUGCAUUGAACUGUGAACCGAUUUGUGUAGGAUAGGUGGGAGGCAGAGAAGAGGCCACGCCAGUGGUCUUGGAGCCGACCUUGAAAUACCACCCUGAUUUGUUUGCGGUUCUAACCACGGACAGUGAUCCUGUCUUGGGACCGUGCAUGGUAGGCAGUUUGACUGGGGCGGUCUCCUCCUAAAGGGUAACGGAGGAGUACGAAGGUACGCUAGGUACGGUCGGAAAUCGUGCUGAUAGUGCAAUGGCAAAAGCGUGCUUGACUGCGAGAGCAACAACUCGAGCAGAUGCGAAAGCAGGUCAUAGUGAUCCGGUGGCUCUGAAUGGAAGGGCCAUCGCUCAACGGAUAAAAGGUACUCUGGGGAUAACAGGCUGAUACCGCCCAAGAGUUCAUAUCGACGGCGGUGUUUGGCACCUCGAUGUCGGCUCAUCUCAUCCUGGGGCUGUAGUCGGUCCCAAGGGUAUGGCUGUUCGCCAUUUAAAGAGGUACGUGAGCUGGGUUUAAAACGUCGUGAGACAGUUUGGUCCCUAUCUGCCGUGGGCGUUGGAAGAUUGACGGGGGCUGCUCCUAGUACGAGAGGACCGGAGUGGACGCACCUCUGGUGUACCGGUUGUCACGCCAGUGGCAUUGCCGGGUAGCUAAGUGCGGAAGAGAUAACCGCUGAAAGCAUCUAAGCGGGAAACUUGCCUGAAGAUGAGUCUUCCCGGAGGUAAAACCUCCCUCAAGAGUCGUCCGAGACCAGGACGUCGAUAGGUCAGGUGUGUAAGCGCUGUGAGGCGUUGAGCUAACUGAUACUAAUUGCUCGUGAGGCUUGAUCCU
This 1301-nucleotide ribosomal RNA is filed under the name metagenome. Its description in RNAcentral is "bacterial LSU rRNA". It matches the Rfam family "Bacterial large subunit ribosomal RNA", at positions 1636 to 2925 of the family's 2925-position model. The record is from RNAcentral.